This is a long non-coding RNA of Gadus chalcogrammus (walleye pollock), 497 nucleotides long. RefSeq lists it as uncharacterized. The transcript has 3 exons. Lineage: Eukaryota; Metazoa; Chordata; Actinopteri; Gadiformes; Gadidae. The record is from RefSeq and is a predicted model, not a curated record.
CUUCCGGGGUAUGGAGCCUCGAAUAGUUCCAAACAACCAUUUUACGGCGUAGGAGAUCAUCCAUUUCCAUUGCUGGCCGUCGAGUAACUUCUGAGACGACCGAUUGCCUGCUGGUUUGUGAGCUCGACUUCGCCAUGUGAAGUUGCCUUAUUAGGUCCUCCACAGUCGCCCCAUCGGUCCCUGGCAGUCUGGUUCCUGGAGCAGCUGGCCCUGGAUCACCUGCCCCUGAAUCACCUGCCCCUGGCAAAGUGGCCUCUUGAUUGCUCUGUGUCUCCUGUCAUGCCCUUUUCAUCGCUCUUGAAGUCCACCUCAAUUUCUCCCUCAAUCUCUGUAAUAAUUACAAGGUAAUGUUGCUGUUAUAUGUAUUUUGCCUUUGCAUUUGCAACUACUGUCAUCUCCAAUGUCAGAAAAUUAAUUAAAGCGAAUCAUUUCUGUAAUGUGAAUUAAAUCAUCUGCCACAAUCAGAAACCAAUAAAAUGGAGCUACCGGCAAUUGUU